UUAGGCCCUGAUAUGGAAUGUGGGCAAACCAAGGGACACCUUAACUGCUGCCCAAAUGCCUGCUCUCAUGAAGCCUUUUUCCUUUUUUUCUUUCUUUUUUACAAUUUAUGCAACCCCAGGUAUUUUGUUAAAGCAAUGAUCAUAUGAAGAAUUUGAUUAAGAGUGAGGGAGAUUUUAAAGUGAAAUUCCUAAUAAAUCAAUUUUUAAUUUAAUUUAGAACAAAUAUAAACUGCUUGAUCUAGAUAUGUCACGGGAUAAUAAUGGGAUCUCAAAUCAAGCAUGGAAUGAACCCCUUCUACUCUCAACAUGUUUGCUAUGCCAGCCUCAUGCUGAAAAUGCCAUGAUUGAAAACAGGUCCUUUUUAUUCAUUCAACUUACUGUCACAAGCAGAGAAUGGCAGUGUGUGGGUCUUGGAUUCAGGUUUAAAAACAAAUUUUGGGACUGUCCAAUGACACACUUGGACAUAGAAAAGUAUAGCUGUGUAGACAGCAGCCCAGCAUCACGUACAGUGGGGCAUGGCCUCACUCUGAAAACUAUAUGGUGUCCUGUCACCACGGUAAUGUGCUGAGUGACAUCAGCCUUCCGUUCCAACUGUCACUCUGUGAGCUGAGAGGCUCACAGUUGAACGCAGUUGUGCUGUCCACAUCUUCACGGCCAGAGUGGUCUGAGAUGGGGAAUCACAACUGCUGCUCAGCAGUGCCCAAGGAGGAUGCAGAGGCGGAGCUUCCUGCUGACACAGCGGAUAAAGAAUCUCCACACACUGAGGUGACCGCAGUAGGAAUGACAAAUGAUUGGGCCUCACAGAGCAUUUCCAAGUCCUACAGUGAAGCUGAAGUCUCUUCAGAAGGCUAUGGGGCAGCACCUGAACUUUCCACUGGGUGUGGCAAUCGGGGGGUGUCCACAUGUUCCCUGGACGUGAACUAUCCCCAAAGACUUCAGGACAUGGAGGACCUUGACCAAGAAGAACAGGAAAUGGAAGCCAACAAAAUGGAGCCCAGAAGUGGAGAGGCUGCCGUCAGCCCUGAUCCAUCAAGUAGACACUAAUGGAUGUUCAGGAUCUACACAG
This 1066-nucleotide long non-coding RNA is filed under the name Oryctolagus cuniculus (rabbit). RNAcentral's name for it is "lncRNA (ENSOCUG00000034708.1)". The record is from RNAcentral. Lineage: Eukaryota; Metazoa; Chordata; Mammalia; Lagomorpha; Leporidae.